CUUUUGGGCACAAGGCAGGGCCCAGAGGGGUGCGUGGGGGCCGCAGCCCAGCCCCCAAGCCCCGCCAGCGGCUUUACUGGGGUGUAACAAACACACGAUAAACUGCGCAUAUUCCAGUGUUCAUGUGGAUGAGUUUGGACAUAUGCACACACUUCCGAAACCACCAGCACAAUCAAGACAGCAGACAUAUCCAUCGCCCCCAAGGGUGUCCUUGUGUCUUUUUGUCAUUCAUCCCUCCCGGCCGCCCCAUCCACACUCCCAUCGCCUGCCGACUGUGGCUGAUCUGCUUUCUGCGGCUGUGGAUUAGUUUGCGUUCUCUACAAUUUUCUGAAGCACCAGUUAGCCCAGAUGCUUCUCAUCUUUGGAGUUGAGCUGCAGGCUGGAGACCUGGAAGGCCCUCGCAGCGCCUGCUCCCAUCCUCUCACCUCACGAAAGCGCAGGAAUGUGGGUUUGGAGCCAAUGAAAAGUACUGGAAUCUGGCUCUGCUCUGUGACCCUGGACAAGUCACUGCCCCUCUCUGGGCUUCAGUUUCCUCCUUGGUAACACAGAAUGAUUAUACCUACCCCUUGGGUUUGUUGACCUGAAUCUACCCCUCAGUCAUUGCCUUUCCUUCUUGCUGCAGCCACACUGGCCCCUUGACAGUUCCUUGAACACAACAAGCCCUUUCCCACCUCAGGGCCUUUGCAUGUGCAGUGCCAGAUGCCUGGAAUGUCCUUCCUUCCAAUCUCCCCAUGGCCGGCUCAUUCUCAUCUUUCUUGGCUCAAAUGUUACCUCCCCAACCUAGACAGCACCGCUGCCACCUCUUCACCCCGUCUUACUCUUCUUCAAGCACUUCUGGAGGUAUCUUGCUAUUUAUCUUGUUUAUAUCUUUUUCAGCUCCAUGAGGGCAGGGGAUUUUGUCUGUUUCAUUCACAAUGUGUUCCCAGAGCUCAGCACAGUGUCAGGCACACACUAGGUGAGUAAGAAACAAUUGCUUCCUCUACCUCUUCCCCUGCUAGCCCCAAGUUCAGCUAACUGGCUGUGUGACCCUGGGGAUUGCUUUUCACCUCUCUGGUCCCUUAUUCUCCCUUGUGGACAAAGGAUGGCCUGGGCAUGAGUUUCUUCAAGGACUCGGGUAGCAGUGAAAUCCCUGGGACCCUAGCCUCAGUACCUCCCCAGGCAAUGGGGUAGAGAGCAAGAAGGCAGGUGAGCAAGGACCAGCCUCCGCCACGCAGACACCCUCUUUCCGGCUUCUCUGUCCUCCUACUUUGCCCUGGGUUUGUGGACUUACUCUGGGCAGAUCUCCACGACCAACCACCCCCUCCCUUGGCAUGUCUGUCAGCACCCUUGGGGGAAAGAAUUUGGAAAGGGGAGGGAGAAAAAGAAAGCAGGGUGCGAGGGGCUGGUUCCCACACCUGUGUAAAUAAUUUGUCAUCUUAAAAUGCUCAAGUAUGCUCACCUUUAAUGCCUGGUUCUUGGGCUUAUUUUCCUUGGCAAGGCCCCCACGGGAGUGGAAUUUCGGCCAAAGGGAGCCCAGUUGUCAUCUUCUAAACAUGUUCCCAGGCCGGGGGCCGGGGAGGGCUCUGGCUGAUGCUCCACUUCCGUCCCCAGAAGUGCUGGAACGUUCCUGGGAUCUAGGGAGCUGACUCCAGUCCUGGAAGCUGUCCCAGAAUUCUGGAAUGUUGGAAUUCAAACGGCCUCCUGCCCAUUUUCCGGAGGAGGAACAUAAGACCCAGAGAGGGGAAGGGGUUGGCCUGAGGUCAUACAAUGUGCAGAGACGAGCUAGAGUUUGCUGGGAGAAGGUGCGGGUGUGUGGACAAGUCAGCAUCUAUCUCCCAUUUUCAGGUAACAGCACCUCGACUUCCUACUGAAGAACCCCCUCUUCCCUUUUCUCAGUCCAUGAGGCUGGGGGUGCCCAGAGGCCUCUGUCUCCAGGGGUGGACAUGUGACCGGGUCUUGCUCUAGUGAUUGGUCCAGGGAUGGGCACAUGACUGAGCCUGCCCAAUGAAACUUGAUCUUGGGACUUCAGGGUUGGCCAUGAUUUGUGAAGGAGAUGCCAUUUUCCAUUGGAUGGACAGUGAGCAAGUGAACGCUUAGAGAAGAAGAGGACAAAACAAGGGAAAAGCCUGCCUGACAGGAAGCAGCACAGAGCUGGACAGGCUUUGAACUCCUGGAUCCCACUGUACCUGAAAUUAGGCACCUUCAACUUUCUAGUUAUGUGAGCCACUGUCUUUCCCAUUUUUGGCUGAAAACAGUUGGGACUGGCUUUCUGUCCCUUGCAUACAGAAGGUGCUGACUGACCCCUGCCCCAUGGAAGAAGAUACUCCAGGCAGAGGAAAUAGUGUGUAUAGACACCCCUAAGCGAAUGCCAAGCGGGGCACUCAUGUACCAAGAAGAAGGAGGAGGAGGCACCUGGGAGCUGAGCUUAAGAGUUAGUCGGGUGGUCAAGGUGGGAGAAGGGGGUAUCUUUAGCAGAGGGAACAACCAUUGCAAAAGCUUGGAGGGGUGACUAGUUAGUGAAGAUCAACUGUGUGCUGAGCUCGUGUUGGGUGGCAAGGGACACAGACGAAAAGGGCACGGUGGAACCCAGCUACUUCUCACCUGCUCCAGCGCAGUGCAGGCUUGUCUGCUUUUGGAGCCGAGCCUGGACACCUCCGUGUCCUUCCCCCGGCAGAGUGCUGCCAGCACGCUGUCUCAGACUCUCCAGCAUCUCCUGGUUGAUGUGCAUCAUGGGGACCACACAAGAUUAUUUUAUAGGCUGCACAGGCAAAGCAUAAAAUCACCUCGGGUCACAUAGCGAGAGUUAUUCUCUCUGCAAAUUCUUUACAGUCUUUCCUUUAUAUCCAGAAGAGUCUCUGUGUGGUGCUAACUUGCCUCGAAGACCAAAUAAUUGCUAGUCUCCCUUUGUGAAAAGGAGAGCAGGUGUCAGGCUCAUUCAUGUCUCAGGCACACAAUUGUAUCUAGCUAGACUUUUCAAAAUGUCCUAUAGAGCUGCAGCACAUAUGAAUGAGGUGUCCAGCUGGUCCCAAACCUGUAAUCGGCACCCCAGUGAGCAGACUGGACAUCCCCACCCCCACAGCUGCCCUUUCUCCCCUCCACUCAUGUUCCCUCUAGGGCCACCACGAUCCCGACUUGUAUCACCACAGAUGAGUUUCACAUGUUUUUGAAUUUUACAUCUUAUCUGUUUUCUGUUCCUAUACAAGUUUGCCUUUUUUGAAUUCCAUAUAAGUGGGAUUCUACAAUGUGUUAUCUCAAUUUGAGUCUGUUUUUUUUUUCCUGCUCAGCAUGAUGUUUUUGAGAUGCAUAUAUGCGG
Molecule: long non-coding RNA, 3292 nt
Filed under: Homo sapiens (human)
Lineage: Eukaryota; Metazoa; Chordata; Mammalia; Primates; Hominidae
Description: non-protein coding LINC01270:3
Source: RNAcentral